AUAAACGCUGGCGGCGCACAUAAGACAUGCAAGUUGAACGGACUUAAUCGAAAUAUUUAUAUUUUGAAGCGGUUAGUGGCGGACUGGUGAGUAACGCGUAAGGAACCUGCCUAUUAGAGGGGAAUCACAGUGAGAAAUCAUUGCUAAUACCGCAUAUGCCAUAGAUAUCACAUGAUAACAGUGGGAAAGGAGCAAUCCGCUAAUAGAUGGCCUUGCGUCUGAUUAGAUAGUUGGUGGGGUAACGGCCUACCAAGUCGACGAUCAGUAGCCGGACUGAGAGGUUGAACGGCCACAUUGGGACUGAGAUACGGCCCAGACUCCUACGGGAGGCAGCAGUCGGGAAUAUUGCGCAAUGGAGGAAACUCUGACGCAGUGACGCCGCGUAUAGGAAGAAGGUUUUCGGAUUGUAAACUAUUGUCGUUAGGGAAGAGAAAGGACAGUACCUAAGGAGGAAGCUCCGGCUAACUACGUG
RNAcentral lists this ribosomal RNA (472 nucleotides) under uncultured bacterium. RNAcentral describes it as "partial 16S ribosomal RNA". It matches the Rfam family "Bacterial small subunit ribosomal RNA", at positions 29 to 507 of the family's 1533-position model. The record is from RNAcentral.